UGAGGAAUAUUGGUCAAUGGGCGAGAGCCUGAACCAGCCAAGUCGCGUGAGGGAAGACGGUCCUAUGGAUUGUAAACCUCUUUUGCCGGGGAGCAAAGAGCGGUACGUGUACCGCGCCGAGAGUACCCGGAGAAAAAGCAUCGGCUAACCUCCGUGCC
This 158-nucleotide ribosomal RNA is filed under the name uncultured bacterium. RNAcentral's name for it is "partial 16S ribosomal RNA". It matches the Rfam family "Bacterial small subunit ribosomal RNA", at positions 355 to 509 of the family's 1533-position model. The record is from RNAcentral.